Molecule: ribosomal RNA, 467 nt
Filed under: uncultured bacterium
Lineage: Bacteria
Description: bacterial SSU rRNA
Rfam family: Bacterial small subunit ribosomal RNA
Source: RNAcentral
UGUCCAGACUCCUACGGGAGGCAGCAGUGAGGAAUAUUGGUCAAUGGUCGGGAGACUGAACCAGCCAAGCCGCGUGAGGGAGGAAGGUACAGAGUAUCGUAAACCUCUUUUGUCAGGGAACAAAGGCGGGGACGUGUCCCCGGAUGAGUGUACCUGAAGAAAAAGCAUCGGCUAACUCCGUGCCAGCAGCCGCGGUAAUACGGAAGGGCCGGGCGUUAUCCGGAUUUAUUGGGUUUAAAGGGAGCGUAGGCCGGCUUUUAAGUCAGCUGUGAAAGUCCGCGGCUCAACCGUGGAAUUGCAGUUGAAACUGGAGGCCUUGAGUGCACACAGGGAUGCCGGAAUUCAUGGUGUAGCGGUGAAAUGCUUAGAUAUCAUGAAGAACUCCGAUCGCGAAGGCAAGUGUCCGGGGUGCAACUGACGCUGAGGCUCGAAAGUGCGGGUAUCAAACAGGAUUAGAUACCCCCGUA